Molecule: transfer RNA, 75 nt
Filed under: Bacillus thuringiensis serovar kurstaki str. HD-1
Lineage: Bacteria; Bacillati; Bacillota; Bacilli; Caryophanales; Bacillaceae
Description: tRNA-Gly (GCC) (tRNA-Gly-GCC-3-1)
Rfam family: tRNA
About the family: Transfer RNA (tRNA) molecules are approximately 80 nucleotides in length.
Source: RNAcentral
GCGGAAGUAGUUCAGUGGUAGAAUACAACCUUGCCCAGGUUGGGGUCGCGGGUUCGAAUCCCGUCUUCCGCUCCA